Molecule: ribosomal RNA, 232 nt
Filed under: uncultured bacterium
Lineage: Bacteria
Description: partial 16S ribosomal RNA
Rfam family: Bacterial small subunit ribosomal RNA
Source: RNAcentral
CGGACGGGUGAGUAAUGUCUGGGAAACUGCCCGAUGGGGGGGGAUAACUACUGGAAACGGUAGCUAAUACCGCAUAACGUCGCAAGACCAAAGAGGGGGACCUUAGGGCCUCUUGCCAUCGGAUGUGCCCAGAUGGGAUUAGCUAGUAGGUGGGGUAACGGCUCACCUAGGCGACGAUCCCUAGCUGGUCUGAGAGGAUGACCAGCCACACUGGAACUGAGACACGGUCCAG